UUGGGUCCGCGUUGCCCAAGGGUUUCUCUGGCCCGGGCUGGAGAAGAGGCUGGGACCCUGCCACGGCCCGUUGGGGUCUCGGGUCCCGCUGGUCCAUUUCCCUCGGACUUUUCCUUUUGGGGGUUAGAUCAGAGGGCCCUCCUUGGUGCCCGCUCUGUUCUUCAGCCCUGGGGAAAUUUGGACUGAGGAUCUGCAGUCGCCACCUUCUCUCUGGUGCUCACUAUCAGGCAUCAUGAUCCCUUCUCCUCCACUGUACAGAUGAGAACAUUGAGGCCCAAAUGAUUUUCACUUGCCCAGGCCACACUUUGCUGAGCCCGAUUCCUUGCCUUUGAAGCAGAGAUAAUAAUAGUUUGCACCUUGAGAAUUCCUGAGGAUUGAGACAAUGAAUGGGAAGGCUCCAGCAUGGUGCCUGCUGCUACAAAACUUACCAUGAAAACCUUGAAAAUUGGUACCAACAAGGACUUGUGGGAUCUUUUGCCUGCUUAAAGUCGACUACUCAGAAAAAUCUCUCAACCAUGGUGAAAAAUGAUGGAAAUCUGGUUUGUGCGAAUCUUCCAGAACAGAAGAGAAAUGCAGCCUGAGCCACAUACAUAAUUUUACAUGGAAAAUGUCCCAGUACCUUCGUUAAAACAAAAAGAAACUUGUAAAAUUAAUUGUAAGGUUAUAUCUUGUUUGGCCCAAUUUGUCCAAUAGAAAAUAUAUUCAUGAAAAUAAAAGUGACCACUGAGAUAUUCUACCUCCUUCUGAUAUGGUUCUACCAUUCUGAUAUAUGGUUCUCAGCUACAGACCAGCCGUUUAGGGGCUCAUUUCAAGUGCUGGGUGGCCACAUGUGGCUAGUGGCUAAGAUAUUGGAGAAAGGGGCUGAGCUCUGGAAUCUAGGGGAGACCCCCAUUACAGGCAGUUUGAGGAAAGGAUGUUUCUAUUGUACUAAGAACAAAGUAUUGCCAGCCAGACCUUUUUUAAAAAAAAUUUUUUUUUUUUUUUUUUAAAUUUCUUUGGCUGUGUUGUGUCUUAGUUGGAGCACUGGGGCUCAAUUAAUGCCCCGAGGCAUGAGGGACCCUGGCUCCCCAACCAGGGAUCAAACACGUGUCCCCUGCAUUGGAAGGCUGAUACUCCCAGGGAAGUCCCUAGCCAGACUUUUAAAUAAAUCCCCAGCCCCACCCCCAUUCGGGCAGAACCCCCAUUAGCAUCUCUGGGUUAAACAGUGGGGGCGAUGCUCUGCCCAUCUCCUGGUCCUGCCCGCCCCGCCUUCCUCUGACCAAGCCUUCCCUCUCCCC
Molecule: non-coding RNA, 1277 nt
Organism: Odocoileus virginianus texanus
Lineage: Eukaryota; Metazoa; Chordata; Mammalia; Artiodactyla; Cervidae
Source: RefSeq, a predicted model, not a curated record